GCCGCGUAUCGGAGCGCUCUCUGUUGGCAUCGUUUACAUUAAUGACGCAUUUACACUCUGCUACGCUACAAUUAUUAGAAAGUAUUCUUAAUUAACGUUAGUACUUGAUAUACGCUUUCAUAUUGUGAAAAGGAUUUUCUCAUUAAAUUAUUGAUCAAAUGGACCCUUAUUUCUAUAUCAUUGAAUUUACAUCGAUUGCGCGUAGAAAAAGGUUAUAUGAUUCCAUUGAAUAAGGAGCUAAAGGAAUGUUUAAGGAAAAAAGAAAAGAAAAAAGAAAAAUGUACGGAAAUCUGUUUUACAGAACUUAUGUUAUUUCAAAUGUUGCAAAAGAGGUUAGGAUUAACAGGAUCACUCAAUACAUCAACGAUAAAAAUGUCUGCACUUUCAUGUUUCUAAAAAACAAGGUUUGUAAAAUCUAAUGAAGUGUAUUCAAAUAAGAUAAUUGGAGGGAGAAUAAACAUUAAUUGAAGAUAUCACUAAAAGAAAUGAAUUAGUUUCUAGAGUUCAAUUAUUUCUUGUAGAAAUUGUAAAAGUCAUAAAUAAUGUUUUACAAGGAUAAUGAAUUGAAUGAAAAUAUGACUUAGAUCAGGGAAGGAGCUGUUUGAGAUAUCACUUUUUUUUUGACAUUCAAAAAUUGUCUCUCAGAACAAUUCCAUUGAUUAACUUUCAGGAUAUUAUAGUCAAGCUAAAAGAUACAAUACAUAUAACUUAGAUGUUAUAAAAAGAAAAAAAAAAAGCUGUAUGUGCAACAAUAUUUCUAUAUAAUAUCAGAUUGAUUACUAGCUGUAUCAAAAUUUUUCUUUGAUAUAAUUAUAAAAUGGCUGGAACAGAACUUUAUCUAUAAGAAUUCUUUACUUGACUGAAAAACAAAGAUUUGACAAAUCCAAAUCUAAUGAAGAAAUGUCUCAUAAAAUAUACAUAAUAUAAAUUAAUCAUUCAAUGACUUUGCAUGAACAAAAGUAUCAAAAAAUGUAUUUGUAUAGACCCAUACAUUGAAGCUUGAUGUGAUUCCUAUGGUCAUAUUUAAUGUUGAUAAUGCAAGCAAAAUGGAAGAGCUAGAAGAUAAAACAAGCUAUACUGAAAAACCUGGAUAAGAAGCAAACUGAUAAAGCAGAACUAGAAGUCUAAAUAUUGUCUAAAGACAAUAUCUUUGUAAUGAUGAAAGAAAAUUCAUUUGGAUAACGCAAAAGUAUUAUCAUUACACCAAUGGAUGGUACUAAUUGGUAUUUUUAUGAACAAAUUGAUUUUGGAAAAUAGCAACGAUGGAUGUGUCAUUGAAAGAGAACGAACAAGAAGAAGCCUUUGAAAAUAUCAACAAUCUCUCAUCCGUUCAAGAGUUUUAUUACGAUCAAAAGUAUAUUCAUAAUCAAACGAACAAAAUCUUUUAGGAAAAUUAUUUGAUCGAGAAAUUGUGUAUAUGUCCUAAUAUCAAUCACAUUUAUCUUUUGAAAAUGGGUAGAACGCUUCAACGCAAAGAGCUCAUGAAAGAUUCAGUUAAAGAUCAAGAAAGAAAUACAAUUGACUUAUAUGUUGUGUAGAAUUAUAAUUAAUGUACAACAAUGUAGGAUAUUUUAUUAUACUGAUCUCAUUAUUUUGAUCAGAAUUUGAUUGUAUACAUUUUUACAAUCAACAAAUAUUUAAUAUUUAUUAUUUAGUAUUUAAAACUGAUAAGAAGAAAAAAUUAAUAAAUAAAUUAUUUUGAUCUUGUUAACGUUGGACGUGCAAAAAGUAACAUACAAAAAGUAACAGAAAGUUGUUUUCCUUGAAAUAAUUAUGUAUUUAUGAUACGUAUUUAAGUAAUUACGUAUACCUGGCUGAGAAAAUUAAUAGCUAUUUCAAUGGACAUUUAUUCAGUUUUUUUCUAUACUGAGAAAAAAAGAAAGCAAAAUUCCAAUAUCACAUAGUCAUGAUAAAAGGUAAUUGUAGCUUAUUAAAUGUUGAUAUCUCGAUGACCGAUAGGUCAUCACCUAUACAAAAUGUUUUCAUUGUUUUUCACGUCACGGUGACCAUGUAAAAUUCAAUGAUAAAAUAAUUAAUAUCGGCUACAGUUAUUAACAUUUUUAAAGGUGCAAUAAAUUUAUUCAAAAAAAUUUCAAAACUGAUGAUUCGAAGUUUGCCCUUUAAAUACAUAUUUGUAUAUGUAUACGUGAUUUCUUUUGAAAUGAAACUUCGAAGUUGACGAUGAUAUAGAAUGAAAAUGAAAUAAAAAGAAAAAAAUGAAUGUAAAAGAAUUAAGUAUACAGAGAUAUGGUGAGAAAGAGAAAGAGAAAGAGAUAGAGAAUAAAUAUAGAAACAAGUUGUGAAUGAA
This is a long non-coding RNA of Vespa mandarinia (Asian giant hornet), 2308 nucleotides long. The record is from RefSeq and is a predicted model, not a curated record. Lineage: Eukaryota; Metazoa; Arthropoda; Insecta; Hymenoptera; Vespidae.